CCCUGUAGUUUAGAAGCAUAAUACAUACACCCCCUAUAGUUUAUAUAUCUGACAGUUACACCCCCUAUACUAUUAUCAUAUGGCACAGACACCUCCUAUUUAAUAAAAAAGGUGAAUAUAGAUACCUAGGCCGAUGGGGUUGUGGAACCUGAUACAAGAUGUUUUCCGUACAUCUAUAAAUUCAUCCAUAUAUCUAUAGAUUCUGUAUCACAAACCAAAAAAAUCGCAGACC
Molecule: long non-coding RNA, 232 nt
Filed under: Elaeis guineensis (African oil palm)
Lineage: Eukaryota; Viridiplantae; Streptophyta; Magnoliopsida; Arecales; Arecaceae
Description: long non-coding RNA (EGUI_LNC028580)
Source: RNAcentral